AAGGAACGUUAAAGACGAUGACGUUGAUAGGUCGGGUGUGUAAGCGUAGCGAUACGUUGAGCUAACCGAUACUAAUGAACCGUGAGGCUUAACCUU
RNAcentral lists this ribosomal RNA (96 nucleotides) under Klebsiella aerogenes. Its description in RNAcentral is "partial 23S ribosomal RNA". It matches the Rfam family "Bacterial large subunit ribosomal RNA", at positions 2830 to 2925 of the family's 2925-position model. Lineage: Bacteria; Pseudomonadati; Pseudomonadota; Gammaproteobacteria; Enterobacterales; Enterobacteriaceae. The record is from RNAcentral.